GAGUUUGAUCAUGGCUCAGAAUCAACGCUGGCGGCGUGCCUAACACAUGCAAGUCGAACGCGGUUAGUAGCAAUACUAACUGAGUGGCGAACGGGUGAGUAACACGUGGGUGACCUACCUUCGAGUGGGGGAUAACGUCCCGAAAGGGACGCUAAUACCGCAUGACAUCCUCUUUUUGAACAGAGAGAGAUCAAAGCCGGGGAUCGUAAGACCCGGCGCUUGAUGAGGGGCUCGCGUCUGAUUAGCUAGUUGGUGGGGUAAUGGCUCACCAAGGCGACGAUCAGUAUCCGGCCUGAGAGGGCGGACGGACACACUGGGACUGAGACACGGCCCAGACUCCUACGGGAGGCAGCAGUGGGGAAUUGUUCACAAUGGGCGCAAGCCUGAUGACGCAACGCCGCGUGGAGGAUGAAGGUCUUCGGAUUGUAAACUCCUGUUGCUCGGGAAGAAUGGCUCCGACCUAAUACGUCGGAGUGUGACGGUACCGGGUGAGGAAG
Molecule: ribosomal RNA, 497 nt
Filed under: uncultured Acidobacteriota bacterium
Lineage: Bacteria; Pseudomonadati; Acidobacteriota
Description: bacterial SSU rRNA
Rfam family: Bacterial small subunit ribosomal RNA
Source: RNAcentral